GAUGAACGCUGGCGGCGUGCCUAAUACAUGCAAGUCGAGCGAACAGACGAGGAUCUUGCUCCUCUGACGUUAGCGGCGGACGGAUGAGUAACACGUGGAUAACCUACCUAUAAGACUGGUAUAACUUCGGGAAACCGGAGCUAAUACCGGAUAAUCUAUUGAACCGCAUGGUUCAAUAGUGAAAUACGGUUUUGCUGGCACUUAUAGAUGGAUCCGCGCCGCAUUAGCUAGUUGGUAAGGUAACGGCUUACCAAGGCAACGAUGCGUAGCCGACCUGAGAGGGUGAUCGGCCACACUGGAACUGAGACACGGUCCAGACUCCUACGGGAGGCAGCAGUAGGGAAUCUGCCGCAAUGGGCGAAAGCUUGACGGAGCAACGCCGAGUGAGUGAUGAAGGUCUUCGGAUCGUAAAACUCUGUUAUUAGGGAAGAACAAAUGUGUAAGUAGCUAUGCACGUCUUGACGGUACCUAAUAAGAAAGCCACGGCUAACUACGUG
RNAcentral lists this ribosomal RNA (497 nucleotides) under uncultured bacterium. Its description in RNAcentral is "partial 16S ribosomal RNA". It matches the Rfam family "Bacterial small subunit ribosomal RNA", at positions 28 to 507 of the family's 1533-position model. The record is from RNAcentral.